This 842-nucleotide ribosomal RNA is filed under the name uncultured Staphylococcus sp. Its description in RNAcentral is "bacterial SSU rRNA". It matches the Rfam family "Bacterial small subunit ribosomal RNA", at positions 545 to 1397 of the family's 1533-position model. The record is from RNAcentral. Lineage: Bacteria; Bacillati; Bacillota; Bacilli; Caryophanales; Staphylococcaceae.
UCGGAAUUAUUGGGCGUAAAGCGCGCGUAGGCGGUUUUUUAAGUCUGAUGUGAAAGCCCACGCUCAACCGUGGAGGGUCAUUGGAAACUGGAAAACUUGAGUGCAGAAGAGGAAAGUGGAAUCCAUGUGUAGCGGUGAAAUGCGCAGAGAUAUGGAGGAACACCAGUGGCGAAGGCGACUUUUGGUCUGUAACUGACGCUGAUGUGCGAAAGCGUGGGGAUCAAACAGGAUUAGAUACCCUGUAGUCCACGCCGUAAACGAUGAGUGCUAAGUGUUAGGGGGUUUCCGCCCCUUAGUGCUGCGCUAACGCAUUAAGCACUCCGCCUGGGGAGUACGACCGCAAGGUUGAAACUCAAAGGAAUGACGGGGACCCGCACAAGCGGUGGAGCAUGUGGUUUAAUUCGAAGCAACGCGAAGAACCUACCAAAUCUUGACAUCCUUUGACAACUCUAGAGAUAGAGCCUUCCCCUUCGGGGGACAAAUGACAAGAAAAAACAUGGUUGUCGUCAGCUCGUGUCGUGAGAUGUUGGGUUAAGUCCCGCACGAGCGCAACCCUUAAGCUUAGUUGCCAUCAUUAAGUUGGGCACUCUAAGUUGACUGCCGUGACAAACCGGAGGAAGGUUGGGAUGACGUCAAAUCAUCAUGCCCCUUAUGAUUUGGGCACACACGUGCUACAAUGGACAAUACAAAGGGCAGCGAAACCGCGAGGUCAAGCAAAUCCCUAAAGUUGUUCUCAGUUCGGAUUGUAGUCUGCAACUCGACUACAUGAAGCUGGAAUCGCUGUAAUCGUAGAUCAGCAUGCUACGGUGAAUACGUUCCCGGGUCUUGCACACACCGCCCGU